AACGAACGAUGGCGGCAUGCCUAACACAUGCAAGUCGAACGAGAUCUUCGGGUCUAGUGGCGCACGUGUGCGUAACGCGUGGGAAUCUGCCCUCUGGUUCGGAAUAACAGUUGGAAACGACUGCUAAUACCGGAUGAUGACGAAAGUCCAAGGAUUUAUCGCCAGAGGAUGAGCCCGCGUAGGAUUAGCUAGUUGGUGUGGUAAAGGCGCACCAAGGCGAGCAUCCUUAGCUGGUCUGCGGGGAUGAUCAGCCGCACUGGGACUGAGACACGGCCCAGGCUCCCACGGGAGGAAGCAGUGGGGAAUAUUGGACAAUGGGCGAAAGCCUGCUCCAGCAAUGCCGCGUGGGUGAUAAAGGCCUGAUGAUUGUAAAGCUCUUUUACCCCGGAUGAUAAUGACAGUACCGGGAGAAUAAGCUCCGGCUAACUCCGUGCCAGCCGCCGCCGUAA
This 449-nucleotide ribosomal RNA is filed under the name uncultured bacterium. RNAcentral describes it as "partial 16S ribosomal RNA". It matches the Rfam family "Bacterial small subunit ribosomal RNA", at positions 29 to 523 of the family's 1533-position model. The record is from RNAcentral.